CGGACGGGUGAGUAACACGUGGAUAACCUACCUAUAAGACUGGGAUAACUUCGGGAAACCGGAGCUAAUACCGGAUAAUAUUUUGAACCGCAUGGUUCAAAAGUAAAAGACGGUCUUGCUGUCACUUAUAGAUGGAUCCGCGCUGCAUUAGCUAGUUGGUAAGGUAACGGCUUACCAAGGCAGCGAUGCAUAGCCGACCUGAGAGGGUGAUCGGCCACACUGGAACUGAGACACGGUCCAG
Molecule: ribosomal RNA, 241 nt
Filed under: uncultured Staphylococcus sp.
Lineage: Bacteria; Bacillati; Bacillota; Bacilli; Caryophanales; Staphylococcaceae
Description: partial 16S ribosomal RNA
Rfam family: Bacterial small subunit ribosomal RNA
Source: RNAcentral